This 498-nucleotide ribosomal RNA is filed under the name uncultured bacterium. RNAcentral's name for it is "bacterial SSU rRNA". It matches the Rfam family "Bacterial small subunit ribosomal RNA", at positions 8 to 507 of the family's 1533-position model. The record is from RNAcentral.
AGAGUUUGAUCAUGGCUCAGGAUGAACGCUAGCGGGAGGCCUAACACAUGCAAGCCGAGCGGUAUUGUUUCUUCGGAAAUGAGAGAGCGGCGUACGGGUGCGGAACACGUGUGCAACCUACCUUUAUCUGGAGGAUAGCCUUUCGAAAGGAAGAUUAAUACUCCAUAAUAUAUUGAUUGGCAUCAGUUGAUAUUGAAAGCUCCGGCGGAUAAAGAUGGGCACGCGCAAGAUUAGCUAGUUGGUGAGGUAACGGCUCACCAAGGCGAUGAUCUUUAGGGGGCCUGAGAGGGUGAUCCCCACACUGGUACUGAGACACGGACCAGACUCCUACGGGAGGCAGCAGUGAGGAAUAUUGGUCAAUGGGUGCAAGCCUGAACCAGCCAUCCCGCGUGAAGGACGACUGCCCUAUGGGUUGUAAACUUCUUUUGUAUAGGGAUAAACCUACUCUCGUGAGAGUAGCUGAAGGUACUAUACGAAUAAGCACCGGCUAACUCCGUG